UGAGGAAUAUUGGGCAAUGCCCGCAAGGGUGACCCAGCAACGCCGCGUGGAGGGAGAAUGUCGUAAGAUUGUAAACUCCUGUUAGAGGGGAAGAAUAGUACCGGUUGGACCGGUAUAUGACUGUACCCUCAGAGAAAGCCCCGGCUAACUACGUGCCAGCAGCCGCGGUAAUACGUAGGGGGCAAGCGUUGUCCGGAUUUACCGGGUGUAAAGGGCGCGCAGGCGGGAUAAAAAGUCAGUGGUGAAAUCCUACAGCUUAACUGUAGAACUGCCUUGUAUACUUUUAUUCUUGAGUUCGGGAGAGAGAGACGGAAUUCCAGGUGUAGUGGUGAAAUACGUAGAUAUCUGGAAGAACACCAGUUGCGAAGGCGGUCUCUUGGUCCGACACUGACGCUGAGGCGCGAAAGCGUGGGGAGCAAACA
This 422-nucleotide ribosomal RNA is filed under the name uncultured bacterium. RNAcentral describes it as "bacterial SSU rRNA". It matches the Rfam family "Bacterial small subunit ribosomal RNA", at positions 355 to 774 of the family's 1533-position model. The record is from RNAcentral.